ACGGGAGCCAUUAUUUUACUCCUCAGUUUUCUCAGAGCCUGAUGAGGAGAGGCAAAUAUACUUGUGUGGGAGUCCAGACGGCAGCAUUAACAUUGGCCUUGUAUUUGUAUCCCUUCCUUGCAGUCAUUACUAGAGAGACAACCGGCAGAAUUGUGUCCAGAGCCUUGUCUUCCACCUACACCUUACCAGAACCCAAUGCAGAAAGGUACCGGUGCAGAGCCGGUUACAUUGGUGCCAAGACGCAGAUCGACGUGGAUCAUUAUGAAUCGCUGUUGAUCAACACCAGCUUGGUCACCGGGAGUUGCUAUGCUAUAAAUAGGUUGGAAGUCAAAUCUCUUAAACACACCACAAAAUAGCUAAUGUUUUUUUGGUAUAUCUCUUAGAUUAACUGAUACAUUUGAAAUUGUUGUUACAUAUAUUCCAUUUUAUUUGUGUAUUUUGAUAGUGAAUAUGACUUCAAGUUGAAGUCGGAAGUUUACAUACACUUAGGUUGAAAUUCAUUAAAAGUCGUCUUUCAAUCACUCCACAAAUGUCUUGUUAACAAACUAUAGUUUUGGCAAGUCUGUUAGGAUAUCUACUUUGUGCAUGACAAGUAAUUUUUCCAACAAUUGUAUAGACAUAUUAUUUCACUGUGUCACAAUUCCAGUGGGUCAGAAGUUUAUGUACACUAAGUUUACUGCCUUUAAACAGUUUGGAAAGUUCCAGAAAAUGAUGUCAUGGCUUUAGAACCUUCUGUUGGGCUAAUUGACAUCAUUUGAGUCAAUUGGAGGUGUACAUGUGGAUGUAUUUCAAGGCCUACCAUCAAACUCAGUGCCUCUUUCCUUGACAUUAUGGGAAAAUCAAAAGAAAUCAGCCAAGACCUCAGAAAGAAAAUUGUAGACCUCCACGAGUCUGGUUCAUCCUUGGGAGCAAUUUCCGAAUGCCUUAAGGUACCACGUUCAUCUGUACAAACAAUAGUAUUCAAGUAUAAACACCAUGGGACCACACAGCCGUCAUACCGCUCAGGAAGGAGACUCGUUCUGUCUCCUAGAGAUGAACGUACUUUGGUGCGAAAAGUGCAAAUCAAUCCCAGAACAACAGCAAAGGACCUUGUGAAGAUGCUGGAGGAAACGGGUACAAAAGUAUCUAUAUCCACAGUAAAACGAGUCCUAUAUCGAUAUAACCUGAAAGGCCGCUCAGCAAAGAAGAAGCCACUGCUCCAAAACCGCCAUUAAAAAAGCCAGACAACGGUUUGCAACUGCACAUGGGGACAAAGAUCGUACUUUUUGGAAAAAUGUCCUCUGGUCUAAUGAAACAAAAACAGAACUGUUUGGCCAUAAUGACCAUCAUUAUGUUUGGGGGAAAAGGGGGGAGGCUUGCAAGCCGAAGAACACAAUCCCAACCAUGAAGCACAAGGGUGGCAGCAUCAUGUUGUGGGGGUGCUUUGCUGCAGGAGGGACUGGUGCACUUCUCAAAAUAGAUGGCAUCACGAUGAGGAAAAUUAUGUGGAUAUAUUGAAGCAACAUCAGUCAGGAUGUUAAAGCUUGGUUUUCAAAUGGGUCUUCCAAAUGGACAAUGACCCCAAGUAUACUUCCAAAGUUGUGGCAAAAUGGCUUAAGGACAACAAAGUCAAGGUAUUGGGAGUGGCCAUCACAAAGCCCUGACCUCAAUCCUAUAGAACAUUUGUGGGUAGAACUGAAAAAGCAUGUGUGAGCAAGGAGGCCUACAAACCUGACUCAGUUACACCAGCUCUGUCAGGAGGAAUGGGCCAAAAUUCAUCCAACUUAUUGUGGGAAGCUUGUGGAAGGCUACCCACAAUGUUUGGCCCAAGUUAAACAAUUUAAAGGCAAUUCUACCAAAUACUAAUUGAGUGUACGUGAACUUCUGACCCACUGGAAAUGUGAUGAAACAAAAAAGCUGAAAUAAAUAAUUCUCUACUAUUAUUCUGACAUUUCACAUUCUUAAAAUAAAGUGGUGAUCCUAACUGACCAAAGACAGGGAUUUUUUUACUAGGAUUAAAUGUCAGGAAAUGUGAAACUUGAGUUUCAAUGUAUUUUGCUAAGGUGUAUGUAAACUUCCGACUUCAACUGUAUAUUGUUGAUAAAGGAGAUCGUGUUUUCAGUGAUGAGCUUCAACUGGGUCUUGGGAGAGGGAUGUUUUUCAGGGAGUUGCCUCAGACCCCAGGUAGAACUAUAGAUGUUGUCAUUUCACCACAUUUUUGCUCCACUCGGGUGCCUAACGACACACCGUCAGCUCCUUUCAUUAUGCUUAGUGACACUCAGAUAGUUCAGAGGUGGCCAGUCCUGACUUGGGAGAUCUUACCACACAACUCGCCCAUCAGAUAGGACAGUCUAUAUCAGCUCAGAUUAGGAAGGAAGGUGAGAGGAAGGAGGAUAGAGGCGCACAUUCUCAGAGCUCCAGUGCAGGACAGACAUUCACUGACACACCCUCCCUUCAUUUAUCUGGUAUGAAGUUGGUCGUGCAGUCUGACGUGAGAGAGACUCCAUGUUUCAGAGGGGAGGGGUCUGACAAGUACUCAGUACAUGAAUGGGAGGAGCUCAUGGACGCUUACCUGAGAAAGAUGGGCGUGUCGGUCAUAGAACAGUCACAGGAGAUCAUGUCCAAGCUUCUGGGGAGAGGUAGAGACAUCGUAAAGAUGAAACUCCGCAGCAAUACAUCUCUGAAACCUCACGAGAACCCCAAAGUGAUAGAUAUACUGAAAUAACUUUUCAGUGAGUCGACAUAUUCAUCCAUGCCUCUUGCCGAUUUCUUUUUAUAACAAUUUGCAAGUACUAGGAGAAAAUGCCAUGGAGUACUGGAUCCAUUUGAACAAGGCAGUAGAUGUGGCCGAGGAGUGUUUGAGGAGGCAGGGUCGGCGCAUCGAGUACUUCAGCCGAGAGGUAACGAGAUGAUGUUUGUGAAACACUGCCUUGAUAGGUGGAUAGCAGCUGAGAUACAAAAAUAAUUUUCUCACUGGCAUUCUGCACUGUCUUUUAUCAGGCAAAUAUACUUGUAUGGGAGUCCAGACGGUAGCAUUAACUUUUGCCUUGUUACUGUUCCAUGCAGGUAUGUUGUGAAAUGUGACGAUUUUGUAUUUCAUGUUUAAUGUGCCUAGUUAGCUGUCGUUCAUUUUGUUACCGGUCCGGUCAUGUCAAAAUGGCGUCGUUGCUUCAUUUGUAUGCCUCAAGUAUAAUGGGACAAUAGUACACUAAGAAAUAUUUAGCACUUAUUAGCAAAUUAUUAUUGUAUUGGUGUACAACAUUUAUCAAAUGAAAUGUGAGUCUUUUGUACAUGUUCAUAUUUUCAAUGUAUUUUUUUGUUGACGCUUUUACUAAUGAGUUUGCUCAGAGUGUGAUGAGGAGAGGCAAAUAUACUUGUAUGGGAGUCCAGACUGCAGCAUUAACUUUCGUCUUGGAUUUGUAUCCAUUCCAUGCAGUCAUUAAAAUAGAGACAACCGGA
Oncorhynchus nerka (sockeye salmon) is the source of this 3438-nucleotide long non-coding RNA. RefSeq lists it as uncharacterized. The transcript has 3 exons. The record is from RefSeq and is a predicted model, not a curated record. NCBI's taxonomy places the organism in Eukaryota, Metazoa, Chordata, Actinopteri, Salmoniformes, Salmonidae.